RNAcentral lists this long non-coding RNA (913 nucleotides) under Selaginella moellendorffii. RNAcentral's name for it is "long non-coding RNA (SMOE_LNC002036)". Lineage: Eukaryota; Viridiplantae; Streptophyta; Lycopodiopsida; Selaginellales; Selaginellaceae. The record is from RNAcentral.
GAGAGCACCGUGUCCCGCCUCGGCCUGCGAACGGAGGAGUGCACGGAGUUUAGCGUCGAGACACCGCUGGGAACCAGUACUUACACCGGCAACUUGGUGGCCCCGAAGCUCGAGUUCGAGAUCGAUGGCGGGUACAUGGGCCGGAUGGACUUUGCCGUGAUGAAGUUCUCCCGCCACGACUUUGUCCUCGGCCACUCUUUCUUCGGGAACAACUUCCAGAUGUUCGCCACCGAGCUGAGGGUCGAGUCGGAUGGCUAUGUGUACAGCUUCACGCUCCACUCGGAUCCUCCCUGCUCGGUCAUAUGAUUGGAAAGCUCUUCCUCUCGAGGACAAAUUAGCGUGAUCACAAUUAAACAUCUUUCCUAAGUACAAGGAAAGAGACACUAACUUUCCUUUUUCUCUUUGGAGUUCCCGAGAUAAAAGAAAAGCAAACCAAGACAAACCAAAGACUAUAGAAUGAAAAUUCACAAGAAAAGCUUGCUUGUGUGAUUCUAUGCAGCGAACGUGGAAUUAUAUACACAAAUGGCUGUCGAGUAGCCUUGCAGGAGGAAUCAAUGCGAGAGCACCGAGGUGGUCUCUCCAGAGCCAUACGGGUCACCCCCCUGGCUAAGCCUGAUGACGUUCUUAACUAGAAAAUGGAGGGAUUGGAGCAAACAUACCCAGCACGCGACCUGGUGGAAAAAGCUGAGAAGCGCCCUCCUCGAUCCCUCGUCCCUCCACCACCACCACGAUCCAUCGUCGCUCCAGCUCUCACCCCACCAAUCGGACGAUCCGCCACCGCCGCUGCCGUUGUCGCCGGCCCCAUUUCCAUUUCCCCCGUUGCCAUCGGAGAAAUCCUCCUCGGAGCCCGAAGAAUACGAUCUGCGCCUGCCGCGGCCGCGAAUCGUCCUGGCACGCUUCCUCACCCGCGAGC